CGCUGCCGUGAUCGUGGUCUGC
This 22-nucleotide non-coding RNA is filed under the name Arabidopsis thaliana (thale cress). The record is from RNAcentral. Lineage: Eukaryota; Viridiplantae; Streptophyta; Magnoliopsida; Brassicales; Brassicaceae.